UACAGAGGUCUCAAGCGUUGUUCGGAUUCAUUGGGCGUAAAGGGUGCGUAGGUGGCCAGGUAAGUCGGAUGUGAAAUCCCGGGGCUCAACCCCGGAACUGCAUUCGAUACUGCCCGGCUUGAGUACUGGAGAGGAGAUUGGAAUUUACGGUGUAGCAGUGAAAUGCGUAGAUAUCGUAAGGAAGACCAGUGGCGAAGGCGGAUCUCUGGACAGUUACUGACACUGAGGCACGAAGGCCAGGGGAGCAGACGGG
This 253-nucleotide ribosomal RNA is filed under the name uncultured bacterium. Its description in RNAcentral is "partial 16S ribosomal RNA". It matches the Rfam family "Bacterial small subunit ribosomal RNA", at positions 524 to 776 of the family's 1533-position model. The record is from RNAcentral.